Ostrea edulis (European flat oyster) is the source of this 713-nucleotide long non-coding RNA. RefSeq lists it as uncharacterized. NCBI's taxonomy places the organism in Eukaryota, Metazoa, Mollusca, Bivalvia, Ostreida, Ostreidae. The transcript has 2 exons. The record is from RefSeq and is a predicted model, not a curated record.
ACAUAUAUAAGUAAGUGAAGUAAAGUGGGGGGGGGGGGGGGGGGGGGGAUUUACAGUUGGAGUGAAAGCUCAUUUUUUACCGGAAGUGGGAAACACUAUUCUCUCUUUCAUAGGCCUACAAGUUGUCGACACGGAUAGACUGUGUUUCUCCACUGUUAAAGGUUUAUGAAUACUAAAUACAAUAUAUUGAAGAAAGAUAAAAACUUGGAUAAACUAUAAUCACCUUCAUGAUUACAUAUGGCCUGUGUGUUUAUUGAAUGGAAGCCUUUCCGGUUCACAUACACGGGCUCAUGCUCACUGGGGCCCAUGAUGCGGACGUGGGUACCAUCGAUAGCACCAAUCACACCAGGAAAUUUGGCAAUGACAUAAAAGCCCUUCUUGAUGUUGGACUUCUCUCCUUCUGUGGAUGGCCACUUUAUAAAACGUGAGGCCAAAUCGGUCAGGGCUUGGGAUACAUCCUGGAUACUUCGAGAAACACUUGACUUGUGGAAACCCAGUGUAUCGCCUAUAGUUUUCAUGUUAUCACCUGUAGCGUAAUAUCGUAGAGCCAUCUCGACCUGACUGAGAGCUGACAAGGAAUAUGAGCGCAAUGUUGGACGGCACAACUCGGGUUCUAGUAGAUCAGUGAUGAAAUUAACUGACUCUUUACUAAACCUAUACCUUUCUUUGUAUUCACUGUCAUUGAAAUCGUGAUUAAAAUGUCUGUAAACUCU